GACGAACGCUGGCGGCGCGCUUAACACAUGCAAGUCGAACGGAAAGGCCUGCUUUCCCUUGUGGAUUGCGGGUACUCGAGUGGCGAACGGGUGAGUAACACGUGAGUGAUCUGCCCCCAACUUGGGUAUGAGCCUGGGAAACUGGGUCUAAUUCCCGAUAGGACUGCAGGGUGGUGCCUGUGGUGGAAAACGAUUUUCUAGUGGUUGGGGAUGAGCUCGCGGCCUAUCAGCUUGUUGGUGGGGUAAUGGCCUACCAAGGCGGCGACGGGUAGCCAGCCUGAGAGGGUGGACGGCCACAUUGGGACUGAGAUACGGCCCAGACUCCUACGGGAGGCAGCAGUGGGGAAUAUUGCACAAUGGGCGGAAGCCUGAUGCAGCGACGCCGCGUGGGGGAUGACGGCCUUCGGGUUGUAAACUCCUUUCGACCGCGAGGAAGCCACCUGGUUGGAAGGGUGGUGACGGUAGUGGUAGAAGAAGCACCGGCUAACUACGUG
RNAcentral lists this ribosomal RNA (494 nucleotides) under uncultured bacterium. RNAcentral describes it as "partial 16S ribosomal RNA". It matches the Rfam family "Bacterial small subunit ribosomal RNA", at positions 28 to 507 of the family's 1533-position model. The record is from RNAcentral.